Ylistrum balloti is the source of this 1063-nucleotide long non-coding RNA. RefSeq lists it as uncharacterized. NCBI's taxonomy places the organism in Eukaryota, Metazoa, Mollusca, Bivalvia, Pectinida, Pectinidae. The record is from RefSeq and is a predicted model, not a curated record. The transcript is spliced from 3 exons.
AUGAUGAUGAUACAUCGGAACAUUCUAUGGUUAUAGGCGAAGUUUCUCCGCUGCUGCUGUUACUCCCCUGGUCAAGGGAUGAGGUCCAUGAGUUCGUCAGGCACUUGGUUACCACAUACCCUCAGUAGGACAGCAGAGAGUCCCUCCUCCUGUUACAGAACAAACCAGAAAGUGAAUCAGACAAUGAUUCGUAUGGAACAAAAACAAAUCAUGAAAGAUAACCCAAGGUGUAAAACCUAUGGGCUACCCACAAAUCACAACUAGUUCUGUACAUGUACCUGGUAUUCAAGUCUCGCCAUGAUGAAUCUUAGUUGCCGAGUCAAUGCCAUGAUGAAGUUCUUAUGUUGCCAUUCAGUCUUAUACUGCUGGAGGACGACGUGGAAGGCAUGCAAACCUAGCCUGGAAAAACAAAAUACUGUUUGGUGUCAAAAGAUUUCAGAAUCAAAUCAAGGAACACAAAUUUCAUAUUCAGUUUGCUUACGAAGUACAAUGUAGUUAAACAUUAUAUUUUUGAUGCAGAGGUUAAACAAAACUUAAACAAUGAUAAGUAAGAUCUUAAAAUUUGUGACAGACACUUAUAGUUGAAUAAAAAUAUAUCAGGAAUUUAAUGCAUAGAAACACAAAGCAACAUACCACAGGACAACAUCUUUUGGUAUGCUGAAAACAGCCGGUAUAGAACCCUGUAAGUAUAAAAGAUGGUCUUGUAUCAUGAUGGUAUUACAGUUGUUUAUCAUAAAAACAACAAACUUGACAGGACAAUAUAUGAAGUCAAAAAGUAUAUUUAAAGUACAUUAUAUUGCAAGAGAACUAAUUUUGUUAACAAAAGAUGAAGGGCAUUAACAAUUAGAUUGUAAGCUUUAUAAAUCCUAACCUCAAUCCCACACCCUAUCCCUCACUCCGUGAGAGGAGGGGAAUACAUGCAUUGUGAUACCCUCGGGUCAUGAAGUUCACAUAUUUGGUAAAACUCUGAAACCCUUCUACCCCAUUUUUGAUUAUCCAUCAAAUAUACAGUGCCUGUCCUCACAGUUAUAUUGUGUAAACUUGCUGAAAUAUACAUUAUUUA